This 253-nucleotide ribosomal RNA is filed under the name uncultured bacterium. RNAcentral's name for it is "partial 16S ribosomal RNA". It matches the Rfam family "Bacterial small subunit ribosomal RNA", at positions 524 to 776 of the family's 1533-position model. The record is from RNAcentral.
UACGGAGGAUGCAAGCGUUAUCCGGAAUUACUGGGCGUAAAGAGUGUGUAGGCGGUGUUCCCAGUCUGUUGUGAAGUCUCCCGGCUUAACUGGGAGGGUGCAGCGGAAACUAGAAUGCUAGAGGGUGGGAGAGGUAAGCGGAAUUCCUGGUGUAGCGGUGAAAUGCGUAGAUAUCAGGAGGAACACCUGUGGUGUAGACAGCUUACUGGACCACUUCUGACGCUGAGACACGAAAGCGUGGGUAGCAAACAGG